GAUGGAAACAUUGGAUGAUGUUUUCUAUUAUUUAAAGUGAUCAGACAAAUCAACAUUUGUUAGAGGCAAAGUUAAAAAAAAAAAUGGGUGAAAUUCUCAAGUUUGUUUAUAAUGUGAUCCUUUUUGGUUCUUUGUAUCUUCUUGUAAUUUAUGCUGAAAGAGAGUGUGAUACUGAUGCUGAUUGUCAGAAAAAAUUUCCUGGCUCUAAUCAACAUCUUUUGUGGUGCAAUAAUGGUUUUUGUGAUUGUCGUACCCACUAAGAUUGGACGCCUACGCCUUUGUGGUAUAGAUAUUUAGGACGAAGAACCGUAGAAGCCGUGAGUUGGGAGACGACGAGGAGUCUUUCUCGUCAUUUUCUUUUCACUUCUUGGAGUCUAUUAUUUAUUUAUUUUUGGUCAAAGCUCUGAUUCUGUAACACUAGGGAGUGGAGUUUAUUUUUAUUGUUCAUACUUUGUUUUGAAAUUCAUAUUUGAAUUCAGUUUAUUUUAUUAAUGACAAUGUUACAAUAUUUUGAAUAAAAUUCUACUACACUGUUUUUAAUUAA
This is a long non-coding RNA of Medicago truncatula (barrel medic), 544 nucleotides long. RefSeq lists it as uncharacterized. The record is from RefSeq and is a predicted model, not a curated record. Lineage: Eukaryota; Viridiplantae; Streptophyta; Magnoliopsida; Fabales; Fabaceae. The transcript is spliced from 3 exons.